This 424-nucleotide ribosomal RNA is filed under the name uncultured prokaryote. RNAcentral describes it as "bacterial SSU rRNA". It matches the Rfam family "Bacterial small subunit ribosomal RNA", at positions 355 to 796 of the family's 1533-position model. The record is from RNAcentral.
UGGGGAAUAUUGGACAAUGGGGGCAACCCUGAUCCAGCCAUGCCGCGUGAGUGAUGAAGGCCCUAGGGUUGUAAAGCUCUUUCAGCGAGGAGGAUAAUGACGUUACUCGCAGAAGAAGCCCCGGCUAACUUCGUGCCAGCAGCCGCGGUAAUACGAAGGGGGCUAGCGUUGUUCGGAAUCACUGGGCGUAAAGCGCACGUAGGCGGACUGAUCAGUCAGGGGUGAAAUCCCGGGGCUCAACCCCGGAACUGCCUUUGAUACUGUCAGUCUUGAGUCCGAGAGAGGUGAGUGGAACUCCGAGUGUAGAGGUGAAAUUCGUAGAUAUUCGGAAGAACACCAGUGGCGAAGGCGGCUCACUGGCUCGGUACUGACGCUGAGGUGCGAAAGCGUGGGGAGCAAACAGGAUUAGAUACCCCCGUAGUCC